Molecule: ribosomal RNA, 878 nt
Filed under: uncultured eukaryote
Lineage: Eukaryota
Description: SSU rRNA
Rfam family: Eukaryotic small subunit ribosomal RNA
Source: RNAcentral
UGUGCCAAGCAGCCGCGGUAAUUCCAGCUCCAAUAGCGUAUAUUAAAGUUGUUGCGGUAAAAAAGCUCGUAGUUGGAUUUCUGUUGAGGGCGUCCGGUCCGUACCACGUACGCGUAUCUGGGUCGCGCUCGGCAUCCUCUCGAAGAACGGUUCUCGCGCUUGAUUGCGUGGUCCGGGUUUCGGGACUUUUACUUUGAGGAAAUUAGAGUGUUCACGGCAGGCAAUUGCCCGGAUACAUUAGCAUGGAAUAAUACUAUAGGAUUUUGGUUCUAUUUUGUUGGUUUCUAGGACUAAAAUAAUGAUUAAUAGGGACAAUUGGGGGCAUUCGUAUCAACACGCUAGAGGUGAAAUUCUUGGAUUGUGUUGCGACGAACUACUGCGAAAGCAUUUGCCAAGGAUGUUUUCAUUGAUCAAGAACGAAAGUAAGGGGAUCGAAGAUGAUUAGAUACCGUCGUAGUCUUUACCCACAAACUAUGCCAACUAGAGAUGGGGCAUCGUUCAAUACGACUUGCUCCGCACCUUAUGAGAUAUCAAAGUCUUUGGGUUCCGGGGGGAGUAUGGUCGCAAGUCUGGAACUUAAAGGAAUUGACGGAAGGGCACCACCAGGAGUGGAGCCUGCGGCUUAAUUUGACUCAACACGGGGAAACUCACCAGGUCCAGACAUAAUAAGGAUUGACAGAUUGAUAGCUCUUUCUUGAUUUUAUGGGUGGUGGUGCAUGGCCGUUCUUAGUUCGUGGAGUGAUUUGUCUGCUUAAUUGCGUUAACGAACGAGACCUUAACCUGCUAAAUAGUCCCGCAAAUUCUGAAUUUGUGUUGUGGCUUCUUAGAGGGACUAUUGGCGUAUAGCCAAUGGAAGUUUGAGGCAAUAACAGGUCUGU